GAUGAAGAACGCAGCGAAAUGCGAUACGUAAUGUGAAUUGCAGAAUUCAGUGAAUCAUCGAAUCUUUGAACGCAUAUUGCGCUCUCUGGUAUUCCGGAGAGCAUGCUUGUUUGAGUAUCAGUAAACACCUCAACUCCCUUUUCUUUUUUGAAAUUGGAGCUGGACUUGAGUGAUCCCAACGCUUUCUUCCAAGAAAGUGGCGGGUUGCUUGAAAUGCAGGUGCAGCUGAACUUUUCUCUGAGCUAUAAGCAUAUCUAUUUAGUCUGCCUAAAAAACAGAUUAUUACCUUUGCUGCAGCUAACAUAAAGGAGACUAGUUCUUGUGCUGACUGAUGCAGGAUUCACAGAGACAGCUUCGGCUGACUUUGUAAACUCGAUCUCAAAACAAGUAAGACUACCCGCUGAACUUAAGCAUAUCAAUAAGCGGAGGA
Molecule: unclassified non-coding RNA, 430 nt
Filed under: soil metagenome
Description: partial contains 5.8S ribosomal RNA, internal transcribed spacer 2, and large subunit ribosomal RNA
Rfam family: 5.8S ribosomal RNA (bases 1-120)
Source: RNAcentral